GCGGCAGCUUACACAUGCAAGUCGAGCGGUAACAGAGAUAGCUUGCUAUCUGCUGACGAGCGGCGGACGGGUGAGUAAUGCUUGGGAAUAUGCCUUUGAGUGGGGGGCAACAGUUGGAAACGACUGCUAAUACCGCAUAACGUCUACGGACCAAAGGGGGGGAUGCUUCGGCACCUCUCGCUCAUUGAUUAGCCCAAGUGAGAUUAGCUAGUUGGUAAGGUAAUGGCUUACCAAGGCGACGAUCUCUAGCUGGUUUGAGAGGAUGAUCAGCCACACUGGGACUGAGACACGGCCCAGACUCCUACGGGAGGCAGCAGUGGGGAAUAUUGCACAAUGGGCGAAAGCCUGAUGCAGCCAUGCCGCGUGUGUGAAGAAGGCCUUCGGGUUGUAAAGCACUUUCAGCGAGGAGGAAAGGUUAGUAGUUAAUAGCUGCUAGCUGUGACGUUACUCGCAGAAGAAGCACCGGCUAACUUCGUGCCAGCAGCCGCGGUAAUACGAGGGGUGCAAGCGUUAAUCGGAAUUACUGGGCGUAAAGCGUGCGUAGGUGGUUUGUUAAGCAAGAUGUGAAAGCCCCGGGCUCAACCUGGGAACUGCAUUUUGAACUGGCAAACUAGAGUUUUGUAGAGGGUAGUGGAAUUUCCAGUGUAGCGGUGAAAUGCGUAAAGAUUGG
This 670-nucleotide ribosomal RNA is filed under the name uncultured bacterium. RNAcentral's name for it is "bacterial SSU rRNA". It matches the Rfam family "Bacterial small subunit ribosomal RNA", at positions 39 to 700 of the family's 1533-position model. The record is from RNAcentral.